AAUGAACGCUGGCGGCGUGCUUAACACAUGCAAGUCGAACGGAAUCCAAGGAGCUUGCUCUGGAAGAUUUAGUGGCGAACGGGUGAGUAUCACGUGAGCAACCUGCCCCGAAGACUGGGAGUAACACCGGGAAACCGGUAGCUAAUACCGGAUGUCCUCUUUUAUUCGCAUGAUGAGAAGAGGAAAUAGUUUUUCGUCUCGGGUAGGGGCGUCGCGGUCCAUCAGCUUGUUGGCGGGGUAACGGCCCACCAAGGCUACGACGGAUAGCUGGUCUGAGAGGACGAUCAGCCACACUGGGAACUGAGACACGGUCCAGACUCCUACGGGAGGGCAGCAGUGGGGAAGUCUUGCGCAAUGGGCGGAAAGCCUGACGCAGCAACGCCGCGUGAGGGAC
RNAcentral lists this ribosomal RNA (394 nucleotides) under uncultured bacterium. RNAcentral's name for it is "bacterial SSU rRNA". It matches the Rfam family "Bacterial small subunit ribosomal RNA", at positions 29 to 409 of the family's 1533-position model. The record is from RNAcentral.